CAGGAGUUAGCGACAAGGAGGGCCGCGGGCUUGGUUUUAGUGGUGGGGCGGAAGCGGCCAGUUCAGGGCCUCAGGGGGCAGUGGGGGAAAUGGCAGAGGAGACUCCGGGGGGUGGGGAUGCCAAUGCCAGGACGAGGAAGGUCAAAGAGGAGACUAGGUCUGGGGGGAACUGUGGUGGGGAGAGUUGCCCUGAGGGUUCCCGCCGUGACCCCGGGGAGGACAGCCCUUCAGCUGCUGCCUUCUGGGGAAGGGGAACUUGACCUCUGGGAGGGCUGCUCCUGCGUGGCCCCCCGGGGCCCCAGCGCCUUGGUUUGUGUGGCAGGAGGAAGGCAGGUAGAAGCUAGGUGAGACAGGAUCUCGCCACUCUUCCUGUAGAGGAGGCAGACUUGGGCAAUUGAUGCCCGGGGAAUGAGGAGGAGGAAGGAAGGUAGUGGGGUGCAGGGCUGCAGGUGGGCUGCUGGCAUGGCAGGCCUUGAACUUGUCAAUGCCAGCAGCCCCCCCCCUUUUUUUUCCCAGAGGGUUGCGAACCCGCGAGGGGAUGAGGCCUGGUCUUGUGGAAACUGAACUUAGCUUCGCGGGCCGACAGCUCUGGCCCAGGGUAGUAUGUAAUGUUGGUUCGGCUUGGGAUAGAGUCCAGGCCAUGCCCAGCCUGCUGGAACCCAGUUCUGGGGGUGAGGCCAGACCCCUCAUUGGUGGUGAGGGUGGUCUCAAGAGUGAUUGAGGAGGUAAGGUGCCACCUAAGCGUUAUUGAUGUGGUGCCGCAUGUGACAGGCUGGGGAUUGCCGAGGCAGGAUGUUGGUGUGUCUGUGGACAAAAUUGACCCACGCUUUAUUUUCCAGGUGCCAGUGUUUCCAUUCGGACUUUUCUCUCUAGCUUCGGUGCUAACUUCUGUGAGCUCACUCUGCCCCUCCUCCUCCCUUUAGCUUUCUCAAGGUUAUCCAUUCACUUAAAGCAUUGCUUCUGGUAACCUGGUAAGCCUGGGAAAGUUGCUGAAGGCCCUGAACAAUUUGGUUGGUAAUCGCGAAGGAGGGAAGGCCCUCCUUGCUGAGACCCAGGGUGGGGUGGGGUGGGGUGGUGUUGCUUGCCUGCGGAGAGGGUGGGGAUCGAAUGUAUACGUUGGGCGGGCCUGCAGCAAUGGCCCCCGGUGACGGUUACCAAAUGCCUCAUGGACCAAGGUUUGUUACUGUAGUGUUCAUCGUGGUGAUCAGAUGGCACCAGGAGAAUUGGAGCCCCUGGCCAGUGUGAGUCGUAGCAGUGCAGGAGGGGAGACCCUGAAGGAGAGAUCCCGCCUAAGUGGAUGUCUGCAGAUUGAAUUUCCAGAGCCUUAAGAGGUGGAAGUUCUCCUGUGUCCCGUUUCCAGGCCUUGCUCAGGAAGCCCUAUAUUCAGGAGGCCAUUUAAGGUUUUCAGAUGAGCUUAUGAGGGGGCAGUCCUUCAAGGUCCAAAGCAGAUGUGUCCGGCCAUCCACAGAUGUGUUUGAUUGUCUGAUCCAGGAGCAUCAACUUCCAGGCUUAUGAAUGCCAGCAGACACCCCUCCUUUUUUCUGAGGUGGAGGUUUUCAGAUGCUGCAUCUUCUAAAUUGAGCCCCCAGUCAUAACUAGUUCUGGGCUACGAAAUUUGAGCUUCAAGAAGAAUCUUAAAAGCUGUAGGACAUUCUAACAUGCCUCAACGCAGAGUGAUGCCUUGUAGGUGAAUCUUGCAGAUGGAGCCCAGUGACCCUCUCACCUACCCUGCUUCUCACCUGCCUACCUGCCCGCCUGUGCAUUGUUUGGAGGAAUUAGUGUUCUAGUCUAACCUGUAUUUUGGGAAAGUGUUCACAUUUGAAAUGCUUUAGGCAAUACUUAUGCAUACUGGCAAUUUGGGGGAGGGGAAUUGUGUUUUGCUGCUACAGUCUUGGGUAUAAGUUGGUUGUGGCCAAAUUGUUAGAAAUGACAGGUCUAUUUUGGGCAUUCCAAUUGCAUUGCAGAUAACUAAGCAAAGGGAAUGGUUGGGGUACUACCAGUGAUCGUUUAGUUCUAUGUAUUUUGUAAUGUGAAUUUAAUUUCAAGGUAAUCUUAAUGGGACAACUCCGAGGUGAGGGUUGGGCUGCCAUUGGUGCUGGGAGGGGUGGGGGUGAGGAAAGGGAGAGGGUUGGUUUGGUUAGCUGUGUGCUGCAGACGGUGGGGAUGGUAGGACAUGUGGAUUGAAGGGAAUUCUUGUAAAAAGGUCAAGUAGAGCUCUGGGCAUUUGAAUGUAAUAGACAACUGGGCAAAGAAAAGUAGUUAAUGCUAGUUGUCUCUUGGAAGCAUAAAAAUUGCUUAGAAACUUAAAAAGUCCUUUGGAAAUCUGCUAAAUGCAGGUAAAGAAGCAAAAUUGUUUUGUUUUGCUGUAAAGUAGGGAAGACUGAAAAAAAUGUAACUGAACAGGAAUGCCAGUCAUUAAAGGCGGGGUGCAGAAAUUCCCAUCAGCUGAGUAAUAGCCUUCACUGCUUCGCUAGGUUCUUCAGUGGUUUAUGUGAAGGUGUGCAGUACUGGGGAGCUAGAGGUCUUAGGAAAGACUUCAAAAUUGGGUAUUUAAAGUAUUAAAAAGUAUUUAAAACAGUAAGUUCAAAAUUUUGGUGUGCACUUGAGAUUAGAUGUACUUGUGGGUCUGUAACAUUUCUAUUUACUCAAGAUUUUGUGAUUGAAAAUUCUGAACAAAGUGAAAAUGCAAUGACUUUUAAAGGAAUCAUACAUCUCUUUGUGGUCUGUAUUGGCAGCAGUAAAAAAGUCUUGCUAUUCUUGUAAUGGUUUCUGUAAAAUUACUGUAAUAUUUGGUAGCAAACCAUGUGCCCUUGUGAUGGUUAGAGUUAAUUAUAUAUUUAAUUUGAAUGUGCUUUUUAAAUUGAUUUAGUGUUUGAGGGGCAACUCAAUUUGGGGAAUUAGCAAAGUGGAGGGGGACCUGUACUCAGAUGUGGUCUGUUAAAAAUUCAGAGAAAAAUCUGAAAACCAUUUAUGAUGACUUUUAUUUCCGAGAUGCAUCUAUUGAAUUGGUAAGGUAAUACUGGUAGCUUUUUUUUUUCAGUAAUGUUUAUCAUUGCAGCGCUGCAUUUUUUUUUAAGUUUUUAUUUAUUUAUGAGAGACAGAGAGAGGGGGGUGGGCAGAGGGAGAAGCAGCUCCAUGCAGGGAGCCCAACCUGGAACUCCGUCCAGGGUCCCCAGGAUCAAAGGUCCCCAGGAUCAAACGCCGGGCUGCAGGCGGCGUCAAACCGCUGCACCACUGGGGCUGCCCAAUACUGGUAGCUUUUAAUUCUGUGCCUCUUCCCUUAAAUUUCAUUUUAAAAUCCCCAAUACUUGUUGCCUCUGGGAUUUGUCUUCUGGGUUAUUUUUAAUGUUUAAAAACAUGUUGGUAUUGUCCAGUUUUUAAUCAGUGACUUAGUAUGAUGUAAUUGCUGUUACACGAAUUUAAAGAGUAGGAGUCCUGCAUGUAUGGGGCAAUGUGUUUGGGUGUGCUGUUGUGAAAUUGAAGCUGUGGUUAAAGUAUUUGUGUUGCUCUGUGGUAAGAACUAGCCCUGUUGCAUCAUGUACAUUACUAAUCAUUUUUCCUCCCUCUUUACAGCACAAAUAAAGGUUUGAGUUCUAAACUCAUAAUUGUUGUAUUGCUAUGUUAUGAUUUCCGACUUUUAUUUUUGUGUAAAUGAGGUGUUCUUGAUAAUGCAAUUUGUUACAUUACUGUAGAUUUAGACUGAGAUUUGCUCUUCAGUAGUUUUAAAUAAUUGAGGUCGUUUAAUGGAGCGUGGUGAUCUUAAAUAGAACUGGUAGGGCCUGAAUGGCCUGCAGCCUGGUGGAUGGGAAUGGGGGCUCUCCUCCCUGUGGUGUCUAAUGGUUGUGCAAAAUAUGAUACUGAACCAUCCAGCCGAGGAAGGUCAGUGUCAAGGUACUGGGGGAGUACUUUGUAAUAUCCUUGAACUUUAACUGGUUAGGUUUCCAAACCGUACUGUCGAAAAGGGGGCGUAUCAUUCUCUUUGCUUAGAGGAAACGGUCUAAAGCAUACAGCACAUGUAAUCUGUUUUCCAUUUUUGUGGUUUUGAGGAGGCUGGAGUGUAUCUGGGAUUUGGGUCUAACCACAUAAUUCUCCUCUCCAGUACUAAAGAGUUUGGCUUUAUUGGGUGACCAAGAGUUUGAGCUCAGGUGUCUCUGCCGUGAGAACCAGGUCGAGGUUAUGCAGAGGGCAUGAAUCCCGUUUGCCUCAUGGCUCUUAAGUUGAUCAUGUAUCCUGGGUGGGGAUGUGGCAGUGGCUUCAUCCUGGGAGAGAAGCUCUGCUGCUGCUGAUAGGCGUUUACUCUUCGGCCCUACAGGAGACAAAAACUGGGCUCAGAAACUGCUGCCAAAAAAAAAAAAAAAACUGCCAGCCUCUUAAGGCUUUUGUUUUCAAGGGAGCUGAAAGGGAAGCUUACCUCUGAAGGAAAGGUUAAGAUGUGGAAUGGGGAUGGAUGAGUGCCUUGACCUGAACAAGGGGUGGGAGAGCCUGGCCUAAGGAAUUCCUUCAAGAGCAUAACUGGGGCCUCAGGAGCCUUUAUUGUCUGCUACUGAAAAACUGGUGCCAGGCAGGAGGAGGUGGCCGGUUGGGGGGGGAGGCAGAGGUCAUGGAUCUGCUGUGAGUGGGUGCCACUGCUUGCUCCCCCAGAACAAUACACUUUCCUACAUAGUCCUCUCUCCUUUUUUUACCCAAGCCUUCCAUCCGCCCUGCCCUUUCCAAACUUAUUUUUUAUAUGGUGAUUACAAAACUCUUACUUCCAGUCUUAAGGGUAACUGCUAUAAAUGCCUCUCUAAAUGUCACUGUUUCCUAACAACUAUGUUGGGCUGAUAAAGAAUUUCCAUGAGGGUGUAAUGUUUGGUGUGGGCUGAGAGCAGGCAGCUGGGGCCCAUGCCUCCUAGCCUCCACCCAAUCCAGGGGCUCCUGAGAUGGUUGGUGAAAGAGAUUCCUACCUGUUCUGCACCUGCGCCCAAGUGGGGUGGGUUGCAGGUGUUGAUGGCAGUGUUGGUGAUUUUUGCUAAUCAGUUUGCAGUCAUCCUUCUCUGAACUCCCACAGGUAGUGGAUGAUACGAUGAAAUCCAUUAAGUAGAAAAUGGUGAUGUGCAAAUUAAAGGAUUGGGGCAUAAGGACAGCAAAAUGCGCAUUUGGAAGUCCCCUUCAAAAAGAAAAAUAGGGCAGCCCAGGUGGCUCAGGUGGUUUAGUGCCACCUUUGGCCUGGGGCGUGAUCCUGGAGACCUGGGAUGGGGGUCCCACGUCAGGCUCCCUGCAUGGAACCUGCUUCUCCCUCUGCCUCUGUCUCUGUGUCUCAUGAAUAAGUAAAAUCUUAAAAAAAAAAAAAAAAAAAAAAAAGCCUGAGAGUGAGUAUGGGUGGAGGCUCCUCUGGGAGCCCAGGUUGGACCUAGAACUGCAGAAGUGGCUGGCCCUACAACAGGCAUUGGACAGUAACGCCCUCCUCCCCCACCGUCAGCUGCCCUUGGUUUGUCUCAUUGACCCUGAACAAUCACUUUUUUAUGCUGAACCCAGCCUCUCUGUGGCUGUCUCUGGAAGAAAUGUUAACUUCUGGUCUUGUACAAUGCUUUUGUGUGGUGCUGAUAUUAAAUGUGAAACAGGCUUACAGAUUCUUGUAUGUAUUAAGCAUUCAUAUGUAACAAAAAUACACUGAUGCAGCCUGGAAUGGCAAGAGGAAGGUAGCAAAAACAAUUAGAAAUAAAGCCGUGAAGGUGUAAGUACCCAGGAGUAUGGCCUUGACCUUGCUCUGGUGGGUGUCCCCUGUGGACCCCUCAGCUCUGUACCACCUUCCUUCUCUUUAAUUCUUAACUGAGUUCUGCUGUAUAAAGGUUUAUUGUGGGGUUUACAAGUAAAAUUGGGAAAAAACAAAAUCCUCUGUUAAUAAUUGUUAUUGACAUUUGCAUCUAGGGUUUUUCUUCCUACUAUGCAUUGAAUAUGCUUUUUUUUUUUAAUACACUUAAUGUAUAAUGAAACUUCCUGUUUGAAGAGCGUUUGGUGGGGACUGUAAUCUAUUGUAGGGCUGUGUCGAUUGAAACAAUCUCAUUUAUAUGGCAUGUUUUCCAGGUUUUUUUUUUUCUCUUGGGAAGUUGUGAUGACCUGCCCCAAAGCGCACACUUUAUCACAUCUGAUAUGUUUUCUUUGGGAUAUAUUAAUAUAUGAAAUGCCUAUGUCAAACUUAAGACUUUAGGUUCAUUCAUAGGUUAAAUAGCCCUCCCUGGGUGGUAUUUUCUAAAUUAGUUUUCUCACAAUUGAUGUAAACCUGGCUCUGUUUCCCUUCUCCACAGAACAAUCUUGCCGUGUUAAAAACCUUAGAUCCUUGGGUGGAUCCUUGCUGCUUUAUUUACUAGGGCUGUGAGCGUUGCUUUGCUGCUACUAAGACUAAACAUCUGUGUGGAUUGGUCAUUUGUAGUGGUGUGUGUGCAUGCGCGUGCGUGUGCACGCUUCAACUUCCUAUUCUUUAUAAUUUUUUUUAAUUCUUAUUUAUGAUAGUCACAGAGAGAGAAAGAGAGAGAGGCAGAGGGAGAAGCAGGCUCCAUGCACCGGGAGCCCGAUGUGGGAUUCGAUCCCGGGUCUCCAGGAUCGCGCCCCGGGCCAAAGGCAGGUGCCAAACCGCUGUGCCACCCAGGGAUCCCUCAACUUCCUAUUCUUUUGUGAAAGCACAUAUGAAGGAUAUUAAUAAUCUGAUGCAAAAAAAAUCUGAUGCAAAUAUUUUUCCUGGUUUCUAGAUUGCCUUUCAUUUUGUUUAUUGCUUUGGACAUACAAAAGUGACAUUGUUCUGAGGUCGUCACUCUUUAGUUUCUAUAUUUCAUUGUACUUAGAUCUCUCCCAUCUCAAAGGUAUAUAAAUAUUAAUCUAUAUUAUGACACUUAUGGUUUGAUACAUAUACCACAGCUGGUGCUUAUUGUGCCUCCUGUGGGCGGGGAGUGGGAGCUAAUGCCCCCUGAGAGCCCCCAGAGCUUGCUCCCCUCCUGGUUCUGACCCCCCUGGGGCUCCACAAUGGAGUGACAGUCCUGUCAGCCAUGAGGAUUGUUGUCCCAAUGGGACAGUUCACUAGAGAAGACCUUGGGGACAGGCAGGUAUUGAUUGUCCCUACCGGAGUCCUGGUUGUCGCUCCUCCAUGACUCCCCAUUCCACCAUCCUGUUUUGGACAUAGCAACCCCCCACGAGAGAGCAUCAAAAGUAGGUACACAAAGAUGGAUCUGGGUUCUACCAGUGGGGUUCCUGGCAGCUUUAUUUGAAUUUGAAUCAGAACUACCUAGCCCCACCCACCAGGCCUGCUUUCCCUCAUCUGUGAGAUGGCAUAAAGGUAAGUGUGUGUUGGGCACUAGCGUUUACAGUGCUACCUUCCUUUAUUGCUGGGCCUCAGGUCCAACCCCUUGGUCCUUUCCCUCUCCUGCCCUUUAGGCACCUGCUUCCCUUGCUCUGAGCCUUUUAUGUAAUGACAAUCAGUGUAUAUAUUCUGGUCUUGUUCUGGUUUUGCAUUUAAUUUUGUUUCCAUCCACAUCUCCCUGUAUCAGCAGAGUCCACAAACACUGUGGAAAUCAGUUUUUUUCGGGGUAGUUAAUUCUACAGGAAUGGCAUGGAUGGGCUUCUAGAAGUCUGAAUGCUCAGAAACUAUAUUUUUCUGUGAAAAGCAUAAACUUGCCAAAGAGGUCCAGGACCUCAAAAAAGAUCAAACAACUGCAUUAUUUUAUCCCAAAGUACUUAUAGUAUAGGAUAUUUAGUCAAGUCUCUUAAGUUGUAAGCAGUGUUUUGACUAUUUUCGGUCACGCCUGCUGUGAGCAUCUCUUUGAAUUUGGCGACUGCAUUAUAUUCCCUGGAGGGGUGUUGCUUGGUCAGUGAGCAUGCAUGGUUUUACAACUUGUGUCAGAGACUCAGAUACUCUGGAAAGCUUACAUUUCCUCUCGUGAGUCUCUCCAUUUCCCUACAUAGUUGCUAAUACCAGAUUUUUUCAAUUUUUGUAACUUUUUAAAAAUGUAAAAUACAUGUAAAAUAUAUCUUCUUAAUCAUUUUUAGUGCACAGUUCAGUAGAGUUCAGUGUUGUGCAACCAAGCUCCAGAAAUUUUUCAUCUUGCAAAACUGAAAUUACAUACCCAGAAAACUCCCCAUUCCCUUCUCCCUUUAGCCCAUGGUAACCGUUACUGUAUUUUUCUGUUUCUAUGAGUUUGAGGUACCUCAUGUUGAGUAGAAUCAUAAAGCAUUUGCCUUUUUGUGACUGGCUUAUUUUCCUUGGCAUUAGAUCCUCUGGGUUUGUGUUACAGCAUGUGUCAAAAUUUUCUUUCUCCUUAAAAGUUGAAACAAGUGCACCUGGCUGGCUCAGUCAGUACAAGGUGCAACUCUUGAUUUUGGUGUCCUGAGUUUGAGCCCCAUCUUGAGUGUAGAGAUCAAGUAAGUGAGCGGAAACAUUCCGUGUUUGUAUGUAACAGUUUAUUUAUCAUCUGUGAUAAAUGGAUGGCUUCCACCUUUUGGUUAUUAUGAAUAAUGUUGCUAUGAGAGGUGUACAAAAAAGCCUUUUGAAACCCUGUUUUCAUUUCUUUUGGAGAUACACCCAGAAGUGGGAUUGCUGGAUUAUACGUAUUUCUAUUUUUAAUUUUUUGAGGAGCCUCACACUUUUCCAAUAGCAGCUACGCCACUCUAGAGCCCCAGCAGUUUGCAAGAAUUCCAGUUUUUUUUUUUAAUUUUUAUUUAUUUAUGAUAGUCACACACAGAGAGAGAGAGGCAGAGACAUAGGCAGAGGGAGAAGCAGGCUCCAUGCACCGGGAGCCCGACGUGGGACUCAAUCCCGGGUCUCCAGGAUCGCGCCCUGGGCCAAAGGCAGGCGCUAAACCACUGCGCCACCCAGGGAUCCCAAGAAUUCCAGUUUUUGAGGAUGCCUGGGUGGCUCAGUGGUUGAGUGUCUGCUUUUGGCUCAAGGCAUGAUCCUGGUCUGGGGAUUGAGUCCCACAUCGGGUUCCUUGCAAGGAACAUGCUUGUCCCUCUAUGUCUCUGCCUCUCUCUGUGUAUCUCUCCCAAAUUAAUAAAUAAAUAAAAUCUCUUUUAAAAAUUUCAGUUUUCCAUUUGAUCACCAACACUUGUUCUCUGUUGUUUGAAAUAGCAGCCAUCCAACUGGGUGUGAAGUGGCAUCUCAUUGUGGUUUUGAUUUGCAUUAACAUGAUGGUGAUGUUAAGCAUCUUUCCCUAGAAUUGCUGGCUGGCCAUUUGUGUCUUGUUUUUUUUUUUUUUUUUUUAAUUUUUUUAUUUAUUUAUGAUAGAGAGAGGCGCAGAGACAUAGGCAGAGGGAGAAGCAGGCUCCAUGCACCGGGAGCCCGACGUGGGAUUCGAUCCCGGGUCUCCAGGAUCGCGCCCAGGGCCAAAGGCAGGCGCCAAACCGCUGCGCCACCCAGGGAUCCCUUGUGUCUUGUUUGGAGAAAUAGUUUUUCAAGUCCUUUAUUCGUUAAAACUGGGUUAUUUUUUAUUGCUAUUUGUAGUUCUUCAAAUAUUUUAGAUAUUAACCAUUUAUCAGAUCUGUGAUUUACAAAUAUUUUCUCCCAUUGUAUAGGUUGCCUGUUCAGUCUGUUCAUGGUGUCCUUUGAUGCCCAGAAGUUUUUAAUUCUUGUAGUCCAAGUCAGUUCUUUUUUUUUUUUAAACCUUUGUUACUGUGCUUUUGGUGUCCUGUCCAAGAAAUCCUUGCCAACUCCAAUGUUCAUGAAGUAUUUAUUGCUACUUUUAAAAGUCCUUUGGGGGGAAAAAAAAAGUCCUUUGGUAAUCUUAAUCCGUGUUUUUGAAUUUAUUGGUUAGUCUCUUUUGCCACUUGAUUUACCAUCUGCCUCUUCCUCUGACCACUUACCAUAUGAAAUUCCAUAUUGGUUUUCAUAAUGAUCAUGCACUCUGUUCACUUUGGAAGAUCAGCUUUUGCCAGUUAUGAUUGUGGAAUUAACUGUUUUUUUUCCUUUUAUUGUUGGUGCAAAAAGUAUCUGUUACAUGAGGACUUUUUAAAACAUUUCAUCUACCAAGUCCAGCGGUAACUACUACUAAGUCUGUUAGGUUUGCUUCUGAUUUACUUUUUCUUUGGUAUCUAAACUCAUCACCAUUUAAGGAGUUAUGAAUCCACCUUAGGAGUGGGUUUAAAUUAUACUUACAAAGUUGAAAUGUCAAACUUUUAUUGAGGAACCCCUCUCUUUACUUUGCUCCAGGUCAGUGUUAGUGUCUGAGGAUCAUGUUCCUAAAUCGCUAGAGUUUUUAGCCUCUAGUUUUUGUUUCUAAUCAAAUACAGCAAAUUUUAAUGACCGUCACUGCUUAUUAUGUUUUAAAAUCUAAUAAGUGGAGGCUCUGCUACUUCUUAAAGCGCAAAUAUUCUCUCCCUGUUGGAACUGAAGUACACAAAACUAGGUUAAUCUUUGGUUGGUGACAUAACAUGGCUCUCUUAUUUGCUUCCUUGAUGUUUUUAAUAAUGUGGUAAGCAUUUCUGAAUCGUCUGUAUAGUAUGAAAACUAGGGCUUUAGGCAGUAGCUUCCUCUACCCAUGUGGUUGUCUCCCCUGCUCUCCCUCUGUCCCCCCCCCCCAUCUCCCUGCCUCAUUCUAGGCCAGCAUAUCUCAUCCUGAAUACAGGGUUUACCAUUACUUUCUUUUCAUAGAACUAAAAAAAAAAAAAAAAAAAAAAAGAAAAAUCUGCCUAAGUGUAUUUUUUAAGGAAGCUGCAGGCAUUCACAGCCCCUCUGGGACAGUACAGCAGAGAAGCUCUACCUCUCUGUGCUAUCUGGGUCUGGGACUCUCUGUUUAGCACAAAGCAAGAAUGGCCUUAAUAAGACUCAGUCUACUUCUGCUGUUCUUUCCCCUAAGCAGAUUGAAAAACAAACUAUUCUAGGAUAGCAGUUGUGACAUUUGCAGAAAGCAUUUAAUUAUAUUGUUUGUUUGGUCUGUUGAAAUCUCAUUGGGCUUCUGUCUAUAGGCAUUUCUAAUCCUAAGUGGAAAAGGAGUGCGCUUCAGUGGGGCACAGUCCAUUCCCUCUCCUGCUGUCUAGCUUAGCACCAGCUUGGCUGAUUUAAGUACCUGCUGUCUCUGACUCCAUCAAGUGCCAAGAGCACAGGUGUGAACCCGGCUCUGUCUCAUACUCACCUAUUAGCGUCACAGAGAGCUUAACAUUGGGAACCCUGAGAUUGGUUCACUGUAGCCCUGACACCUCUGUUGAUGUAAUAGCUGUGUGGCCAGCUGUCUGGGUGUCAGAGCAAGGCCCUGCCUCUGCUCUAUGCUGACCUGACAGCAAGGCUCUGCUAGUUUUUUUCUAGUUCAUUUAAAGAUGUAAAAAUGUUCAAAGUGAAAUAGCUGCAGAUGUUAAAAAUUGCCUCGGUUGGGAUCCCUGGGUGGCGCAGCGGUUUGGCGCCUGCCUUUGGCCCAGGGCGCGAUCCUGGAGACCUGGGAUCGAAUCCCAUAUCGCGCUCCCGGUGCAUGGAGCCUGCUUAUCCCUCUGCCUAUGUCUCUGCCUCUCUCUCUCUCUCUCUGUGACUAUCAUAAAUAAAUUUAAAAAAAUUAUAAAAAAAAAAAAAAAAAGAAAAAUUGCCUCGGUUCCUAUAGAGGCAACUAUUGUGGCCAGUUGCUGGAGUUUUUCUGGAGAAUCCUGUGUAUAUAUUUCACUGUGGAGGUCCUGGUACACCACACACCCUGUCUUGCACUUUGAAUUGUUAAGUUAACGGUACAUCAAGGUGCUCACUGCAUCUUUUUUUUAUGGUCUCCCUUGGGCUUUUCCACAUCUGUGUCAUAGUCCAUGUUUGAAUUUCUCAUUUCCCUUUUGGGGAACAAUUUGUUUCUAGCAACCUUUAUUGUAUAGGAGGCUAUACUGAAUAUCCGCCUACAUGGUUCUUUGUAUGUGAGAAGUGACAAUAGUAUUUCACGGUAGUUUUGAUUUCUUUCGGGCUGUGGGCUUAUGGAUUUUCAAAGAGCUCUUUAUAUACGGAAGAAAUUAACCCUUUGUGAUUUGUGCUACAAAUACUUUCCUGUUAUUGAUCAUGAUUGUACAUUUCAUGCUAAAAUUUUGCUGGUCAGGGUUUUAACCAUACUUAUUUUUUAUCACUGUUUUCUUUUAUGGCUUCCAGGUUUUAAGACUCAAGUUGGAAAGUACCCCCCUUAAAGAUAGGCACACCUCAACCUUCCCCAGCCCACCAGCAGCACAGGUUCCCCCAGCCCAGCCCUUGGCUGUUUUGGGUUUUAUCUUUGCUAAUAGGAAAAUCGAGCUUCCCCGUGUUUUAGUUUGCAAACCUUUGAUCCUGUGAAGCUGAAUGAACACUUUGUUGGCUGAUGUGUGUGUUGCUUUGUGUUUCACUUACAUUUUUACUUCCAGAGAAUUCUUUACCCUUUGCCCUUGUAUACUGCGUUUACCCUUGUAUAUAACAAAACAUUUUUCAAGUUUAUAGUUGCUUUUCUUUUUUCUUUGAGUAUAGGGGACACACCACGUGGCGCUGGUUUCAGAUUGUAGUUUGCCUUUAAAUUUACAUGUUGGAGGGGUGCCUGGGUGGCUCAGGAGUUUGACCAUCUACCUUCAGCCCAAGGUGUAUGUAAUCCCAUGGUCCCGGGAUCAAGUCCCGCAUUGGGCUCCCUGCAUGGAGCUUGAUUUGGUCUCUGUCUCUUAUAAAUGAAUCUUUUUUUUUUAAUUUUUAUCUAUUUAUGAUAGUUACACACACAGAGAGAGAGAGGCAGAGACAUAGGCAGAGGGAAAAGCAGGCUCCAUGCACCGGGAGCCCGAUGUGGGAUUCGAUCCUGGGUCUCCAGGAUCGCGCCCUGGGCCAAAGGCAGGCGCCAAACCGCUGCACCACCCAGGGAUCCCUAAAUGAAUCUUUUAAAAAAAUAUUUUUAAAAAUAAAUUUACAUGUUGGAUCCUGCUGAUGUAAGUUUUAAGUUUGGUCAUCAAAUCUCUUACUGUUAUGGUUUCAUACUUUGAUAUUCUAUAUUUUCCACUGGUUUCUUUGUGCUUUAGUUUUUGACAUUUGACAUAUCUAUGGCUCUUUAACCUAUCUAGAAGUUUUUUGGGUGUUUGUAUAGUAGGAGGUAAGAAUCUUAAUUAUUUCAAGAUGGCUAGCUGAUUUUCUAAGUACCACUUCCUGAAUAAUGCUUUCUCUGCUAAUCUGAAAUGGUGUGCACUUGUAAGUUAUGGGCUAAAUACUUCAAUAUAAUUGAGUCUAUUUCUGAACUUUCUAGUCUUCCACCAAUUUGUCUUUCCUCUGCUACCAGUGUUUCAUUUUAUUAGCUUCAUUGUAUCUUAUUAUAAUGUGUGUUAAUACAAGCCUCUGGCAUUCUUUUUUAAGGUAUUCUGAUUUUUACUGGAAUUGCAUUACAUUUAUCAAUAUAUUAUGAUAUUGAGACUUUGCAUUUAGGAACUGGCCUCCCUGUUCAGGAUAGGAUGACUUUUAUGUCCAUCAGGAAUUUCAGACUUCAUGUGCAAGUUAGGUGCAUUUAUGAAGUUUGCUUCUAGAAAUGUUAUUCAGUGUUGUGGUUAGAGCUAUUUUUCCUAUUAAAAUUUCUGAUGAUGGUACCAUGUGUUUAAGACUUUGUUUUGUUUAUAUACUUUCUUAAAUUAUUCAUGAGAGGCACAGGCAGAGGGAGAAGCAGGCUCCUUGCAAGCAGCCUGAUGCAGACCUUGAUCCCAGAUCCUGGGAUCACGCUCUGAGCGGAAGGCAGACACUCAACCGCUGAGACACCCAGACAUCCCAGCAGAUAUUUUAAAUGUCAACAUUUGCAUAUUUAUUUUAACAGGUAUUCAAAAAUUGGUGAUAAUUACGUAUUUCCUCUUAAAAAUAUUUUCCUCUUCUUAAUUGAAAUAUCCCACACGUACUAUAAAAUUCAGGCUUUUGAAGUAUAUAAUUCAGUGGUUUUUAGUAUAUUUACUGUGUUUGCAACCAUCACUACUAUCCAUUUCCAGAACUUUUCCAUCUUCCCAAACAGAUGUCUGGUACCUAUCAAACAGUAACUUCCCAUCCUGCCUUCCCGCUGGUCCCUGGUAACCUUAUUAUAUUCUCUAUCUCUCUAAAUUUGCCUGUUCUUGGUCCCCAUUCUAGGUACCUCAUGUAAGUGAAAUCCUAAGGUAUUUGUCCUUUAGUGUCCAUCUUUGUUCAGUUAGCAUAAUGUUUUCAAGGUUCAUUCAUGCCAGGGCGCAUAACAGUUCCUUUGUGAGGCUGAAUAAUAGCUCAUCGUGUGGCUAGACCACAUUUUGUUUAUCCAUUCAGCAGUUGGACAUUUGGGUUAUUUCCACAUUUUGUGGGAUUAUGAAUAAUGCUGCUAUGAACUCUUUAUGUGAACAUGUUUAAAUUGUCUUCGGUAUGUACCUAGGAGUGGGACUGCUUGCUGGGUCAAAUGAUAACUUUAACUUUUUGAGGAACUGCCAAACUGUUCUCCAGGGUAGCUAGCUGCACAUUUUACAUUCCUGCCAGUAACUUUUGAGAGUUCCAGUUUCUCCACAUCUUCAACACUUGUUCUUAUCUGUCUUUUUUUGUGGUUUUUAUGUAAGCUCUAAGCCCAUUGUGGGGCUUGACCUCAUGACCCAGAGUCGCAUACUCUUCCAACUGAGCCAGCUAGGCACCCCUCUGGCUUUUCAAUUGUAACCAUCCUAAUUAGUGUGAAGGAGUAUCUCAUGUAAUUUUGAUUUGCUUUUUUCUGAUGACUAAUGACAUGAAACACCUUUUCAUGUGCUUGUUGACCAUGUAUAGAUCUUUGGAGGAGUGUCUACUGAUCCAUUUGUUCCCUUUUUUAUUGGGUGUUUAUCUUAUUGAAUUGUAAAAUUCUUUCCAUAUUUGGGAUACUAGACCCCAAUCAGAUGAUUUGCAAAUAGGUUUUUCCCUUCUGGGGGCUAUGUUUCUACUUUCUUGGUAGUGUUCUUUGACAUAAAUUUAUUUUUUAUUUUAUUUAUUUAUUUUUUAUAAAUUUAUUUUUUAAAAGUAACUUGAUUAAGGGGAAAAAAUAGGACUGGCCAUAUUCAGAUGUGGCAAAAAAUCUCCAGGUAUUGUGUGAAUGAUUGAUGUUUGGGAGCAGAGAAUAGAGUGUGACCCGAUCCUGUAGUGUGAUGUGGGAUCACUUACUCUGGUGUGACCUUUCACAUACAGUGUCCCCAAAUGUCGCCUGGUACUUGUGUUGGGAUCAUCUGUCAGUAGAUUGCUUAGAAGUUUUUGUUUUGUCUUUUAAGUCUGUAAUAGAUACGGAAUUUAUUCAACUGUCUUUCCUGCAUCUUUUUAGAUGAGCAUCCAGUUUUUCUCUCACUUUCUCAUGAUUAAUUGCAUCAUGGAAUAUUAAGCCCUCCUAGGAUUUCUGAGACAAACCAUUCCAGGCCUGGAACUUUAUUCUGUCACCACAGAAAUGAAUCAGAAGGUCCACUGCAACUUAAGGGCGCUGUCAGUGUAUUUGGUACUUGGAGAUUCCAGGCGGCACAGGCCGCCCCUGCUGUGUGGAGCACUUGAUGCUGGCAGUGCCAAUGGGAACCUACACCCUACCCUGUCCCCAACCGUCUUCUCCUUUGCAUUUGAAUGAAGUGCCUGUGUGUUGGAAUUUUCAGCUGGUGAAUUUUGAAACUGUUUUUACAUCUCUUUUCUGUUUCCUGCUCAUAUACAUGUUUAUCUUA
Nyctereutes procyonoides (raccoon dog) is the source of this 15576-nucleotide long non-coding RNA. RefSeq lists it as uncharacterized. The transcript is spliced from 2 exons. The record is from RefSeq and is a predicted model, not a curated record. Lineage: Eukaryota; Metazoa; Chordata; Mammalia; Carnivora; Canidae.